GGUGCUUAGCUCAGUUGGUUAGAGCGUGGUGCUAAUAACGCCAAGGUCGCGAGUUCGACCCUCGUAGUGACCA
This 73-nucleotide transfer RNA is filed under the name Pseudogymnoascus sp. 24MN13. Its description in RNAcentral is "partial tRNA-Ile". It matches the Rfam family "tRNA". From Rfam's summary of the family: Transfer RNA (tRNA) molecules are approximately 80 nucleotides in length. The record is from RNAcentral. Lineage: Eukaryota; Fungi; Ascomycota; Leotiomycetes; Thelebolales; Thelebolaceae.